This 400-nucleotide ribosomal RNA is filed under the name uncultured bacterium. RNAcentral describes it as "bacterial SSU rRNA". It matches the Rfam family "Bacterial small subunit ribosomal RNA", at positions 355 to 747 of the family's 1533-position model. The record is from RNAcentral.
UGGGGAAUCUUCCGCAAUGGGCGAAAGCCUGACGGAGCAACGCCGCGUGAGUGAUGAAGGCCUUCGGGCUGUAAAACUCUGUUGUCAGGGACGAAGGUGCACCUUUCGAACAGAUGGGUGUAUUGACGGUACCUGACGAGGAAGCCACGGCUAACUACGUGCCAGCAGCCGCGGUAAUACGUAGGUGGCAAGCGUUGUCCGGAAUUAUUGGGCGUAAAGAGCAUGUAGGCGGGCCUUUAAGUCCGACGUGAAAAUGCGGGGCUCAACCCCGUAUGGCGUUGGAUACUGGAGGUCUUGAGUGCAGGAGAGGAAAGGGGAAUUCCCAGUGUAGCGGUGAAAUGCGUAGAUAUUGGGAGGAACACCAGUGGCGAAGGCGCCUUUCUGGACUGUGUCUGACGCU